GUGGGCGUAGCUCAGUCGGUUAGAGCGCCAGGUUGUGGCCCUGGAGGUCGCGGGUUCGAUUCCCGUCGCUCACC
This 74-nucleotide transfer RNA is filed under the name Gemmatimonadota bacterium. RNAcentral's name for it is "Gemmatimonadetes bacterium (permafrost metagenome) tRNA-His". It matches the Rfam family "tRNA". Rfam says of the family: Transfer RNA (tRNA) molecules are approximately 80 nucleotides in length. Their secondary structure includes four short double-helical elements and three loops (D, anti-codon, and T loops). The record is from RNAcentral. RNAcentral also lists the same sequence under 5 other names. Lineage: Bacteria; Pseudomonadati; Gemmatimonadota.